Molecule: ribosomal RNA, 853 nt
Filed under: uncultured archaeon
Lineage: Archaea
Description: bacterial SSU rRNA
Rfam family: Archaeal small subunit ribosomal RNA
Source: RNAcentral
UGAUACUAAGCCAUGCGAGUCAUUGCAGUAAUGCAAGGCAGACGGCUCAGUAACGCGUAGUCAACCUACCCUAUGGACGGGAAUAACCUCGGGAAACUGAGUAUAAUGCCCGAUAGAACACUAUACCUGGAAUGGUUUGUGUUCCAAAUGAAUGUCGCCGUAGGAUGGGACUGCGGCCUAUCAGUUUGUUGGUGAGGUAAUGGCCCACCAAGACUAUUACAGGUACGGGCUCUGAGAGGAGUAGCCCGGAGAUGGGUACUGAGACACGGACCCAGGCCCUAUGGGGCGCAGCAGGCGAGAAAACUUUGCAAUGUGCGAAAGCACGACAAGGUUAAUCCGAGUGGUUUGUGCUAAACGAACCUUUUGACAGUCCUAGAAACACUGUUGAAUAAGGGGUGGGCAAGUUCUGGUGUCAGCCGCCGCGGUAAAACCAGCACCUCAAGUGGUCAGGAUGAUUAUUGGGCCUAAAGCAUCCGUAGCCGGCUCUGUAAGUAUUCGGUUAAAUCUGUACGCUCAACGUACAGGCUGCCGGGAAUACUGCAGAGCUAGGGAGUGGGAGAGGUAGACGGUACUCGGUAGGAAGGGGUAAAAUCCUUUGAUCUAUUGAUGACCACCUGUGGCGAAGGCGGUCUACCAGAACACGUCCGACGGUGAGGGAUGAAAGCUGGGGGAGCAAACCGGAUUAGAUACCCGGGUAGUCCCAGCUGUAAACUAUGCAAACUCAGUGAUGCAUUGGCUUGUGGCCAAUGCAGUGCUGCAGGGAAGCCGUUAAGUUUGCCGCCUGGGAAGUACGUACGCAAGUAUGAAACUUAAAGGAAUUGGCGGGGGAGCACCACAAGGGGUGAAGCCUGCG